RNAcentral lists this transfer RNA (89 nucleotides) under Candidatus Dadabacteria bacterium. RNAcentral's name for it is "tRNA-Ser". It matches the Rfam family "tRNA". Rfam says of the family: Transfer RNA (tRNA) molecules are approximately 80 nucleotides in length. Their secondary structure includes four short double-helical elements and three loops (D, anti-codon, and T loops). RNAcentral also lists the same sequence under 1 other name. Lineage: Bacteria; Pseudomonadati; Thermodesulfobacteriota; Candidatus Dadabacteria. The record is from RNAcentral.
GGAGGGAUGUCCGAGUGGUUGAAGGUGCCGGUCUCGAAAAUCGGUGGGGCCUGUAAAGGCUCUCGUGGGUUCGAAUCCCACUCCCUCCG